Molecule: long non-coding RNA, 1355 nt
Organism: Corythoichthys intestinalis (scribbled pipefish)
Lineage: Eukaryota; Metazoa; Chordata; Actinopteri; Syngnathiformes; Syngnathidae
Exons: 3
Source: RefSeq, a predicted model, not a curated record
GUGAAGAAGAAGAAAUGCCGCAUCCAAGCGAGUUAGUGAGAGAGGGAAGCACUGCUGCGACCCUACGUUCUUUGUUAAUGCUUGUAAAAUAUCUACAGAGGCAACGCCUGCAGAGUUGGUGCCCUACACACAGUGCGUGUUAUGCGUAUGCGGAGCGCCGUGUCUGCUACUAUCCCAUGCCUGCUAACAAGCAUAUUUUGGAGCUGUGGGCAUCUCUCUGCUAAAAAGUUCCAUGUGUUGUGAGGUUCACAGGGCAAUUCAUCAAGCGUAAUGAUGCGCGGGCACUCUGAGCCUUGCCAGUUGCCACGACCACACCUCCAGUUGAUCUUCAAUCAACAUCUGCCAGCAAUCAAGCCAUCACUCAGCCGCUUAUGUACCUGGAACCCACCACCACCAGCGUGUCUUAUUGUUGUAGCAACCGCAGUGGUAGCUAAUGUCUCAAGCCACGGCUCAGCUGUUUAAUACUGUCUCUGUGUGUUUUUCCCUUACGCAUCUAAGCUGUGUUUUCAUCUGCUUAAGAUCAUCAUCACCAGAUGCCUGCCCUCCACCGCCUCGUAGAUGUCAUCACUGUAAGAUACCUCAGCAAUUCACUUUGCUUCUCUUCUCUUUUUUUUUCCAUCACAAAGCUUUAUUGUAACAAUAUUCAUACACUGCUGGCCAAAAGUAUUGGCGCCCCUGCAUUUCUGUCAGAUAAUGCUCAAUUUCCCCCAGAAAAUGAUUGCAAUUACAAAUAGUUUGGUAGUAAUACCUCCGUUUAUUUUGCUUGCAAUGAAAAAACACAAAAGAGAGAAGAAAAAAAAAAGAAUCAUUAUCAUUUUGCAAAAAAACUCCAAAAAUGAGCCGGACAAAAGUAUUGGCACCCUUUGAAAAAUCUUGUGAUGCUUCUCUAAUUUGUGUAAUUAACAGCACCUGUUACUUACCUGUGGCACAUAACAGGUGGUGGCAAUAACUAAAUCACACUUGCAGCCAGUUAAAAUGGAUUAAAGUUGACUCCACCUCUGUCCUGUGUCCUUGUGUGUACCACAUUGAGCAUGGAGAAAAGAAAUAAUACCAAAGAACUGUCUGAGGACUUGAGUAGCAAAAUUCUGAGGAAGCAUGGGCAAUUUCAAGGCUACAAGUCCAUCUCCAAAGACCUGAAUGUUCUUGUGUCUACUAUGUGCAGUGUCAUCAUUAAGUAUAAAGCAAUAAGUAUAAAGCCCAUGGCACUGUGGCUAGCCUCGCUAGAUGUGGACAGAAAAGAAAAAUUGACGAGAGAUUAAAAAAAAAAAAAUUGUGCGGAUGGAGGAUAAAAAAACCUCGACUAACAUACAAACAAGUUCAAGCUGUCCUGCAGUCCAAGUGUACAACAAUGUCAA